RNAcentral lists this ribosomal RNA (468 nucleotides) under uncultured bacterium. Its description in RNAcentral is "partial 16S ribosomal RNA". It matches the Rfam family "Bacterial small subunit ribosomal RNA", at positions 28 to 507 of the family's 1533-position model. The record is from RNAcentral.
GAUGAACGCUGGCGGCGUGCUUAACACAUGCAAGUCGAACGGAAAGGCCCAAGCUUGCUUGGGUACUCGAGUGGCGAACGGGUGAGUAACACGUGGGUGAUCUGCCCUGCACUUCGGGAUAAGCCUGGGAAACUGGGUCUAAUACCGGAUAGGACCACGUCUUGGAUGUUGUGGUGGAAAGUUUUUUCGGUGUGGGAUGAGCUCGCGGCCUAUCAGCUUGUUGGUGGGGUAAUGGCCUACCAAGGCGUCGACGGGUAGCCGGCCUGGGAGGGUGUACGGCCACAUUGGGACUGAGAUACGGCCCAGACUCCUACGGGAGGCAGCAGUGGGGAAUAUUGCACAAUGGGCGCAAGCCUGAUGCAGCGACGCCGCGUGGGGGAUGACGGCCUUCGGGUUGUAAACUCCUUUCGCUAGGGACGAAGCGUUUUUGUGACGGUACCUGGAGAAGAAGCACCGGCUAACUACGUG